This 292-nucleotide ribosomal RNA is filed under the name uncultured bacterium. RNAcentral's name for it is "partial 16S ribosomal RNA". RNAcentral also lists the same sequence under 1 other name. The record is from RNAcentral.
GGACUACUCGGGUAUCUAAUCCCGUUUGCUCCCCUGGCUUUCGCACCUCAGCGUCGGUAACCAACCAGUGCAUCGCUUUCGCCGCCGACGUUCCUUCCGAUAUCAACGCAUUUCACCGCUCCACCGGAAAUUCCAUGCACCCCUUUGGUCCCCAAGCAACGCAGUAUCGGACGCAGUUCCUCGGUUAGGCCGAGGGAUUUCACAUCCGACUUACGCCACCGCCUACGUGCGCUUUAUGCCCAGUGAUUCCGAACAACGCUCGCCACCUUCGUCUUACCGCGGCUGCUGGCAC